This 436-nucleotide ribosomal RNA is filed under the name uncultured bacterium. Its description in RNAcentral is "partial 16S ribosomal RNA". It matches the Rfam family "Bacterial small subunit ribosomal RNA", at positions 28 to 507 of the family's 1533-position model. The record is from RNAcentral.
GAUGAACGCUGGCGGUCUGCUUAACACAUGCAAGUCGAACGGGCUCUUUCGGGAGCUGGUGGCGGACGGUUGAGUAACGCGGGAUAAUCUGCCCUUUGGAGGGGUAUAACGGUUGGAAACGACCGCUAAUACCCCAUGUGCCGAGAGGGAAAAAGUAAUUCGCCAAGAGAGUAGCUCGCGUCGGGUUGGCUAUUUUGUGGAGUAAGAGCCGACCAAGGCGACGGUCCGUAGCUGGUCUGAUAGGAAGACCAUCCACACUGGGACUGAGACACGGACUAGACUCCCACGCGCGGUAGCAGUGGGGCAUAUUCAGCAAUGCGCGCAAGCUUGACGGAGCAAGACCGCGUGAGAGAAGACGGUCUGUGGAUUGUAAACCUCUUUUGACAGGGAAGAAGUACUGACGGUACCUGUCGAGUAAGCCUCGGCUAACUACGUG